CCACAGUUAGUUUUCGAUUGAGAAAAAUCUUCAUCGCACAAAUCAAAGCGAUAAUUUCAUCGCCACUGUCGAAUUUUUCUAUAGUUUUCAAUUCAUAAUCAUGUUUCGCGAAAAAUCAUUACAGAUGCUGAUGCUGUUUUCAAUCACUGUUCUGCCACUCGUAACAUGCACUGGUGAUGCUCUAGUACCAAAAUCCAAUACACCUGUAUAUAGUGAAGAAGAACCGAACGCUGUCAUUGGUGAAGAAGAAUUGAAAG
This is a long non-coding RNA of Planococcus citri (citrus mealybug), 257 nucleotides long. RefSeq lists it as uncharacterized. The transcript has 4 exons. Lineage: Eukaryota; Metazoa; Arthropoda; Insecta; Hemiptera; Pseudococcidae. The record is from RefSeq and is a predicted model, not a curated record.